UUUUUAACCUGCCAAGGCAUUAGGGGGAAACACCCCAUGGAUGAACUCAAGGAAACGGCUGGAGUAAAAUGUAGGAUCCACAGCGGAGAUGGACAAGGAAUCGAACUGAAGAGAUUUGUAUGCAUGUUCUAUCUUCUUACUCAUAUUGUACUCCUGAAGUAUAUCAAUUAUGCCAAGAUAAAGAACAACGUCGUAUACUUCGUGAAAUGUC
This 211-nucleotide unclassified non-coding RNA is filed under the name Hevea brasiliensis (rubber tree). The record is from RNAcentral. Lineage: Eukaryota; Viridiplantae; Streptophyta; Magnoliopsida; Malpighiales; Euphorbiaceae.